AUUGAACGCUGGCGGCAGGCCUAACACAUGCAAGUCGAACGGUAACAGGAAGAAGCUUGCUUCUUUGCUGACGAGUGGCGGACGGGUGAGUAAUGUCUGGGAAACUGCCUGAUGGAGGGGGAUAACUACUGGAAACGGUAGCUAAUACCGCAUAACGUCGCAAGACCAAAAAGGGGGACCUUCGGGCCUCUUGCCAUCGGAUGUGCCCAGAUGGGAUUAGCUAGUAGGUGGGGUAACGGCUCACCUAGGCGACGAUCCCUAGCUGGUCUGAGAGGAUGACCAGCCGCACUGGAACUGAGACACGGUCCAGACUCCUACGGGAGGCAGCAGUGGGGAAUAUUGCACAAUGGGCGCAAGCCUGAUGCAGCCAUGCCGCGUGUAUGAAGAAGGCCUUCGGGUUGUAAAGUACUUUCAGCGGGGAGGAAGGGAGUAAAGUUAAUACCUUUGCUCAUUGACGUUACCCGCAGAAGAAGCACCGGCUAACUCCGUG
Molecule: ribosomal RNA, 490 nt
Filed under: uncultured bacterium
Lineage: Bacteria
Description: partial 16S ribosomal RNA
Rfam family: Bacterial small subunit ribosomal RNA
Source: RNAcentral